Molecule: non-coding RNA, 46 nt
Organism: Schistosoma rodhaini
Lineage: Eukaryota; Metazoa; Platyhelminthes; Trematoda; Strigeidida; Schistosomatidae
Source: Rfam
GCACUGCUGAGGAGCCCUAUAAUAGGACGAAACGGCCGUCUAGUGC